This 498-nucleotide ribosomal RNA is filed under the name uncultured bacterium. RNAcentral describes it as "partial 16S ribosomal RNA". It matches the Rfam family "Bacterial small subunit ribosomal RNA", at positions 28 to 507 of the family's 1533-position model. The record is from RNAcentral.
GACGAACGCUGGCGGCGUGCCUAAUACAUGCAAGUCGAACGAGAGCGCCCGGUGUUUGCACUGGUCAAUCUAGUGGCGAACGGGUGAGUAACACGUGGGUAACCUGCCCAUCAGAGGGGGAUAACAUCCGGAAACGUAUGCUACAACCGCAUAGGUCUUCGAGCCGCAUGGCUUGAAGAGGACAAGAGGCGCAAGCUUCUGCUGAUGGCUGGACCCGCGGUGCAUUAGCUAGUUGGUGAGGUAACGGCUCACCAAGGCCGUGAUGCAUAGCCGGCCUGAGAGGGUGAUCGGCCACAUUGGGACUGAGACACGGCCCAGACUCCUACGGGAGGCAGCAGUAGGGAAUCUUCCGCAAAGGACGCAAGUCUGACGGAGCAACGCCGCGUGAGUGAAGAAGGUUUUCGGAUCGUAAAGCUCUGUUGUUAGAGAAGAACAAGUGCUAUAUUAACUGUUAGCGCCUUGACGGUAUCUAACCAGAAAGCCACGGCUAACUACGUG